CAAUAGCGUAUAUUAAAGUUGUUGCAGUUAAAAAGCUCGUAGUUGGAUCUGUGGUGUGCGGUGGGCUCCGGGCACUUGUUGUCUGAGUAGCUCGCCGCUGCCAUCCUUGGGUGGAACCUGUGUGGCAUUAGGUUGUCGUGCAGGGGAUGCCCAUCGUUUACUGUGAAAAAUUAGAGUGUUCAAAGCAGGCUUAUGCCGUUGAAUAUAUUAGCAUGGAAUAAUGAGAUAGGACUUUUUCGCUAUUUUGUUGGUUUGCGCGAAGAGGUAAUGAUUAAUAGGGACAGUUGGGGGUAUUCGUAUUCCAUUGUCAGAGGUGAAAUUCUUGGAUUUUUGGAAGACGAGCUACUGCGAAAGCAUUUACCAAGGAUGUUUUCAUUAA
This 379-nucleotide ribosomal RNA is filed under the name uncultured eukaryote. RNAcentral's name for it is "partial 18S ribosomal RNA". It matches the Rfam family "Eukaryotic small subunit ribosomal RNA", at positions 592 to 976 of the family's 1831-position model. The record is from RNAcentral.